This 826-nucleotide long non-coding RNA is filed under the name Brachypodium distachyon (stiff brome). RNAcentral's name for it is "long non-coding RNA (BDIS_LNC003082)". The record is from RNAcentral. Lineage: Eukaryota; Viridiplantae; Streptophyta; Magnoliopsida; Poales; Poaceae.
GUUGGACUAUUUGGCGGGGACGAACCCACGUUAUGGCCCAUGGGGACAUCUGUCCCCACUUAAUUAUUUUGGCUGAUCCAUUGAAAGUAUAGUGUUGUCGUUCUUUCACUGGGACCAAAUUACAAGUUCUUACCAGUUUCUUACAGCUAGAUCAAAAGAGAAUGAUUUUUGGUGCACAAAUUCAAAUGCCUCUAAACCGAAACAGAGCACCGAUUCACACAAGCAAGUUUGGCAAUGGGUCAGAGUUUCUGAAACUUAAGAUGAGAAAGAGAAAAUAUUUUUUUGGGUGAUUUUGUUUACGAGAACAGCAAAACUAAAAGCAAGAUUUAACACAGAUCCCAAGCAAACAUCUAAGUAUUGGAUAGGAGAAAAGUAACUAGAAUGGGACAGAUUAUAAGCACUAGUUAAACUCUGAAAUCUAGUGAACAGUAACUGAAUUUUUUUUGUUUUUUUCUCAGGCAAAAAGAUCACAGCACAAAGCAAAGGAUCCACUGAUUUCUAAUGCAAAACAAACUGAAUACUCGACAACAAGAUUAACUAACUACAAAAGAUUGGGUGGAUCUCAGAUUUUUGCAAAUAAAAACACUAACAGUAGAUAGACUAAUUAGUUCUACUACUUUGAACCGUUAAUAGAGUGAGAUUACAGCAACAAGCAAGAAUUGGGUAGAGAUGUAGACUUCAUCACCAAGCACAUGAACAAAGGAAGGGACAGAUUAUUGCAGCUAAUCGACAGAAUAAGCUUGUUGUAGUGGAAGCAGAGGUUGAAGAAUGGGGCAGAGUUGUUGUCGCGCCGUAGAGCUUCAGCAAAGAUCGGGGGCGAGGUUGC